CCUCGCGUGCCGCCGCGUCCUCGCAGACCCCGAGCCGCCGGUCGGGCGCGCGGUGCGCGCGUCUCCGCCCGAAGACGCUUGUUUGGAGGGGGGCCGAGAGAGAUGAAAAGCUGCAGAAACCUGGCAGUUUAAAAGACGAGAAGUUUUAUCGUUUUUGCUUUCGCGAAUUAGUUGGCAUGGGGAAGACCGCAAAAAAAAUAAGUCUUUUCACCAUGUGGAGAUCAAUUCCUUUCUGGGCUGUCAGAAAGAUGCAGA
Long non-coding RNA from Leopardus geoffroyi (Geoffroy's cat), 255 nucleotides. RefSeq lists it as uncharacterized. The transcript is spliced from 3 exons. Lineage: Eukaryota; Metazoa; Chordata; Mammalia; Carnivora; Felidae. The record is from RefSeq and is a predicted model, not a curated record.